UCGGUUCCCACUCGGUGGGCGAGGGUAGGGCAGAGCUCCCCGAUUCUAAGAGCUGCAACUACAUAAGGCAAAUAAAGCACCCAGGGCAGUAGCCAAACUUAACGAAGGAGGAAACGAAUGGCAUUUAAAGAAACUGACAAACUGGUACUAAAAUCAUAAAAUAUGUAAAUGGGGGAUCCAAGAUGGUGGACUACAAGAAGGCUGUGUUCCUUGUCCCUCCAUAACUCGGGUCUCAUGCAAAGGAUGUCUGUUUCCUGGUUGGAGCCCACGAUCAAUUGGCCCCAUUGCUUUGGACCUAUGGUCAAACAGCACAUCAAGGUGGGAGUGCACAGUGGAUCAAAACCACCCGCCUCAUGACCAGGAGGCAGAAAGAAGAAGGGAUGAGGAUCCCACAGUCCCGUUCUGGAACAUGUUUUCAAUGACCUAAAGAUCUCCCACUGUGUAAUACAAAGCUGCUCCCCUGCCUUUCCAUUGCAUCACAACCUAACUUGUCAGUCUGAAAGCUGCUCUCCCCGCCCUUUCUGGGGCAGCCAUUUCCC
Molecule: long non-coding RNA, 539 nt
Organism: Sciurus carolinensis (gray squirrel)
Lineage: Eukaryota; Metazoa; Chordata; Mammalia; Rodentia; Sciuridae
Exons: 3
Source: RefSeq, a predicted model, not a curated record